ACUUUUAUGACAAUAUUUUCUUCUUCCACGGAAAAAAAGCACUCAUGUCCAAAAACUUUCAUCUUCCAACAUCAUGGGUUGUUAUUUCAAGGGCUUGGUUAGGCUUUUCUUGUUGGAGUAUCCUCGCUAAGAAGCUUUCAUCCUCUACUUAUGAAAAUGCUAUUUCAAGAAAUGCUGUUUCAGAAUAAACUAAAUAUAUUUGUGAGAGAAGAAUUUUUAAUAAAUAUCAUAAGUCUGUUAUUACAGCUCAAAAGGACCAAAGUUCUCUAUGAUAAUUCUUGAAAGAACCAGACUUCUUCUUAAGUUACAAGCAGUAGCUUUUGAAAGCUUCCUUCUUCGACGGAAAAAAGAAGU
Molecule: long non-coding RNA, 354 nt
Filed under: Nicotiana benthamiana
Lineage: Eukaryota; Viridiplantae; Streptophyta; Magnoliopsida; Solanales; Solanaceae
Description: long non-coding RNA (NBEN_LNC031370)
Source: RNAcentral